UGUAGCUAUUCCUUUAUCAAAAUGAAGUAUUUGUUAUCUUUUCUUUUACUAAAGUUGUCAUUAUGUGUCCUUUCACAGGGAGUUACACUGGACCAACCCAGUUCUGCCAUUGUUAAGCCUUCAGAGACCAUGAAACUCCCCUGCAAAGUCUCAGUUGCUGUUAGUAGCUACUACUGGCGCUGGAUCAGGCAACCUCCAGGGAAAGGUCUUGAAUGGAUCGGAGAUAUGAACAAGGAUGGGAGCACAGAUUUAAAUGCAGCCCUCAAGGAUCAACUCACAUUAACCAGAGACACUGAAACAAAUGAGCUCUUUCUGCAGAUCUCUAACAUGAAAACUACAGACUCUGGAACAUACUACUGUGCAUUAUUCACAGUGAGAGAAGGAAAUCAAGAUUGA
This is a non-coding RNA of Bombina bombina (fire-bellied toad), 396 nucleotides long. The record is from the annotation of a RefSeq genome assembly. NCBI's taxonomy places the organism in Eukaryota, Metazoa, Chordata, Amphibia, Anura, Bombinatoridae.